This 510-nucleotide ribosomal RNA is filed under the name uncultured bacterium. Its description in RNAcentral is "partial 16S ribosomal RNA". It matches the Rfam family "Bacterial small subunit ribosomal RNA", at positions 28 to 507 of the family's 1533-position model. The record is from RNAcentral.
GACGAACGCUGGCGGCGUGCUUAACACAUGCAAGUCGAACGAAGAGCGAUGGAAGCUUGCUUCUAUCAAUCUUAGUGGCGAACGGGUGAGUAACGCGUAAUCAACCUGCCCUUCAGAGGGGGACAACAGUUGGAAACGACUGCUAAUACCGCAUACGAUCUAAUCUCGGCAUCGAGGAUAGAUGAAAGGUGGCCUCUACAUGUAAGCUAUCACUGAAGGAGGGGAUUGCGUCUGAUUAGCUAGUUGGAGGGGUAACGGCCCACCAAGGCGAUGAUCAGUAGCCGGUCUGAGAGGAUGAACGGCCACAUUGGGACUGAGACACGGCCCAGACCCCUACGGGAGGCAGCAGUGGGGAAUCUUCCGCAAUGGACGAAAGUCUGACGGAGCAACGCCGCGUGAGUGAUGACGGCCUUCGGGUUGUAAAGCUCUGUUAAUCGGGACGAAAGGCCUUCUUGCGAAUAGUGAGAAGGAUUGACGGUACCGGAAGAGAAAGCCACGGCUAACUACGUG